UCAAACAAGCAGCGGGUUCGAGUUG
This 25-nucleotide non-coding RNA is filed under the name Mus musculus (house mouse). Lineage: Eukaryota; Metazoa; Chordata; Mammalia; Rodentia; Muridae. The record is from RNAcentral.